UCUACGGGGGGCAGCAGUGGGGGAUAUUGCACAAUGGGGGAAACCCUGAUGCAGCGACGCCGCGUGUGGGAAGACGGUCCUCUGGAUUGUAAACCACUGUCCCCAGGGACGAAGAUGACGGUACCUUGGGAGGAAGCUCCGGCUAACUACGUGCCAGCAGCCGCGGUAAUACGUGGGGAGCGAGCGUUGUCCGGAAUUACUGGGUGUAAAGGGAGCGUAGGCGGGACUGCAAGUUGGGGGUCAAAUCUACCGGCUCAACCGGUGGCCGCACUCAAAACUGCAGUUCUUGAGUGAAGUAGAGGCAGGCGGAAUUCCUAGUGUAGCGGUGAAAUGCGUAGAUAUUAGGAAGAACACCAGUGGCGAAGGCGGCUUUCUGGACUGAAACUGACGCUGAGGCACGAAAGCGUGGGGAGCGAACAGGAUUAGAUACCCGAGUAGUC
This 440-nucleotide ribosomal RNA is filed under the name uncultured bacterium. Its description in RNAcentral is "partial 16S ribosomal RNA". It matches the Rfam family "Bacterial small subunit ribosomal RNA", at positions 338 to 795 of the family's 1533-position model. The record is from RNAcentral.